This is a long non-coding RNA of Crotalus tigris (Tiger rattlesnake), 467 nucleotides long. RefSeq lists it as uncharacterized. NCBI's taxonomy places the organism in Eukaryota, Metazoa, Chordata, Lepidosauria, Squamata, Viperidae. The transcript is spliced from 3 exons. The record is from RefSeq and is a predicted model, not a curated record.
UUCCUCUAUCCCAGGAUCUAAUAUCACCUAGCAUAUUGUACUUGAACGUGGACAUUUCAUUUUGCUUUCCAAAUAAACCAGAGGAUCUCCUAUGAUCAGAGAUGAGCUGUAAGAGAACAUUUUAUUGAUGACAUCUGGCUCUGCUUCCUGCCACUCCUUGAGCCUACAUGCCUUGGAAUGUCCCUUGUCUCAGAAUUCAUGGCCUCAGGACCUGUGCAGUCACUGGGUAAAAAUGGUAGCAGUUAAGAUACUUGCUGGAAUUGCAAACUUGACACUUCAGGGUGUUUCGGGCCGGCUUCAGAUCAAGCUCACCAGGGUUGGGAACAGUUCUUUCUAUUGGACAAUUCGGUCUCUGCAUUUUAAUGGUGUACACACAAAGUGUAAAUGUUAUUGAGGAAGCUGUGUGUGUAAAAGAAAAUUCUAUUUGCACGUUAUAGCUUUAUCCAGGGCUCUUUUUGUCAUAGAAC